AUUGGAAGCAGCCACGCUGCUUACUUGAAAACAGAUGCUGCUAAACUCUCAGGCUGUAGCUCUUAUAAUAAAAGAGGGAUCUCGUGGAAAAUCACAGAUAGGCCUACCUUAAAUACAACCGAGGCAGCUAGCUGAUCCCAAACAAUAAUCAAAUCAACGACCCAGCAUGGAUCUACUAUAUGUCUCCUUCUGAUCUAUGUUCACCUUGGCGCUGUACCUGUACAUACCAAAGACCACCUCUGCAUUCUUCUGAUGAGCCUUCACCUCUAUGCAAUGAGGUCAUGAGUCGUCUCAAGGUGUGGUGUGUUGUCAUGGCAGCACAGCCUGAGGCGGGACGCUACCUGCAUGCCUCAACAGAGGGUAAUGUUCUCACAGGCUGAGAUUAGGAGAGAGGGUAAUCAUACAUUUCGAUGAUUGCAUCAUCGGAGUUGAGUCACACUGUCAUCACAGAGUAAGUCCGACAAUCAAGACUACUCCUGCUCCUAAUGACGUCUUUAAAAGUUUUGAAAUACAUCUUAGAUGUUGUGACUAAAAGGACAGUUUGUACAAACCAACAUGUUGUCAUGGCAUCUCUUUGGCAAUAGAUGGAUGAUUUUUUUUUAUUGACAAAUUGGACUAAAAUCAACUGUUAAUUUGAUUGGGUGACUGUAUUUAUCCAUGGUGGAACCUUGUCAGGACAGGGUUUAUUUUCAAUCUCAGAAAAGCUGGUUUUUCAUUAAAGUGGCAUCAAGGGAGGGUUUAUCUCUAAGUAAGGUGUGUGAAACAGAUGCUCAAGCUGUCAUACAAAGGUUUCAAAUAUAGCUUUUGGUUAAAAAAUGAACAUAAAUCCUCAAAGAGAGGCCUCAAACUAUACAACAAUAGAGUACAACAUAUACUCGCAGCAGCAAUGACCCUGAAAUUAAAUUUAAUACAGAAAUACAGUUAUGUGCUUGUGGUUUGGGCCUGUAGGGUGCUAACGAUCUACCUCGGGGCCCGACGUGCCACUGUCUUAGCCACUAGGCCAGGGCUGGAGAGGGGGUGGUGGACAGAGUCAAGCUUGACAUAUGUGUGUCGAGCUUGGUAGCCAAGGUCAAGCUCGAUGGCAUCUCAUUUGUCCGGACCUUUCACUCCUGGUAAUAUGCCAAAAAACUGCUGGUGUUUUUUUUUUGUUUACUUAAAUUUUAUUUGCCUUUUUUUUGUACAAUAACAACAAAAACAAAACAUACAAACAUGCAAACAAAUCCUGGUGUCGGAAAGGAGUCACCCAUUUAGCCUCCAUUGAAGCUGUCCAUUCUUUUCAUGUUAUGUGAACAGAUUUAUAUUUGUUCCAUUUUUCCCACUAUUGGGUGCUUGAAUCUUGUUGAAGCUGUAAAGCAUGUGUAAAUUUCUCCAUAUCAUGUAUUCAUUCCACAAUUUCCAGCCAGUUUUUUCUGAUUGAGGGGGUCCUGCUUACACCAUUGCCUUGUAAUAGCCUUCUUUCAUGCUGCAAGAAGUAUUUCAGCCAAGUAUAUGUCUUUAGCUUGUAAGUUUUCUUGUAUUGAAUUACCCAGGUGUAAUACCUCAAAAGUCAUGGGAAGCUCAUAUCCUAAUAUUGCUUUCAUUCAUUUCCCUACUUCUUCCCAAUAUGUAGUUAUUUUCAUACAAUGCCAGAAAACAUGGGUAUGAUCAACAUCCUGCUCUCCACACUUUCUCCAGCAGGCCUGUGAGACCUGCAGAAAUCUUUUCUUCAAACUAGGGGUGAUAAAAAAAUCUGACAAUAUUACUCCAACUGCUGGUGGUUUUCAGGCAUCCGGGGCUUGUGGCAACCCCACUGCCUGGGUGUGGACUUUGUAAUUUUUUCAACAGAUAAUUUCCCCAUGACAGCAAGCAAGGACAUCCAGAGCAUUAAUGGGGUUGUGUUUAUCCUCCCUCCUGCCUGAUGGUGCUCUUAGGCAACUUACCUGCCACACCUUACUUCAGCCUCAAUUUUUGCCUAUAAGUUCUGCUCAGUACUGUAUCUAUUUUUUAGGUAAGGCCAGAAUUUUUAAUUUGCUCUCCAAUAAAACAAUCAAUCAAUCAAAAGAAGAUAUCCUGACUGUCCGCUGUACAUUUCACCUGGACAUAGGUGCAACUUUUCAACUGCAUUGCUCCACCCUGACGACUCAGGAAGGUGUGGGAUCUCCAGGAAAACAAACAGAAACAAGAGAGAAGGAGUUAAAUAAGUGUGUACAUUAACUUUAUGUGUGUGUGUGUGGGUGUGUGUGUGUGUGUGUGAGUGUGUGUGAAUAUGACAGGGGGCAUCCAGUUACAAUCUGUAUCUUACACACGGGAAACCUGAGGACUGUUUGGAGCAUCUCUUUACCUGCAGGCUCACAGGGGUUUAAGUCGCUACCUAAUGAAACUCCAUCUGUGCAGGUUUAAUAUUUAAACACUGUUGAGAGUUUGGUUCCCCUUAGAGAUCAGGAUGGACACAUACCAGCACCCAAACUGCACCCAGUCACACUGGAGGGCCAGAUCUGCCACCAAGACAGGCACCGUGAAAUCAGCAAAACUUCAGAAAGGAAUCUGACGUGUGGUCAAUCUUUGUGAAUUUUUGUUUUAUUCCUGCCGAGAAGCCUGAAGCUCAAAGUAUCCUGACAAAAGGAUUACACUCUCAAAUUUUGGAACGAUCCCUUGGCACAUGCUAACCAACAGAAGUCAAACACAACUGCAGCAGUGAGAGGCAACAAACAGCAACUUACACAAUGUAUGUGAACUCCUCUGGAGCUGAGAGCGGUUACUCUCUGACCUUCCUGGGGAAGAAAGUAGGGAGGCAUCACUCUGUGGCUCCUGCAGGCAAACAACGCGCCUGGGAGCCAACUGAAAGGUUGAACUGUCCUGAGGACUCGGUGGUGUCUUUGCGACCUGGACGAGCUCCAGUGGCAGCGAUGGUGCCAGAGGACUUACCAGGCAGCGUCCCAGAGCUAGAGGACAAGAGGCCAUGCCCCAUAAUUCACAGCACACAGUUUGACCAAUACGAGAACAGAUCAGCAGGUCAGAGCAAAAAAUGACCCCCCCACCACUGACAGGCACACAUAUAAAGGUGGAGACUGUCGUUUUUUUUUUUUUAUUAUUAUUUUAGUAAUUCUUGCAGUACAAAAAUACAGUCUUUGAGGUCAAAUUAUGCCAGAUUUCAAAGUGAGACCAGCAGAUAAUGGGGUUGUGUUUUUCCCUGUAACACCUGAUAUAAUCGCUUUUUUCCCACUUAAAAGGUGUUUCUGAGAGGAAAGUAGCAGCGUGACGACACGCCUACAUUCUUGUGUGAGGAAACAAAGGAGAGAGAGGGAUGGGAAUGGUAGAAACAGAAGGUGAUAAAAUAGUCAGAGGAAGAGUAUUAAAUGGAAUGUGUCAGUAUUGCAGUUAAGCCUGAAGCCUCUUUGAUGGUUUCUCUUAAAAAUGAAUUAAACAGGGACUUAAUACAAAAUAAUAUUAGAAAUGUAAAUAGACAAUAAACUGUAUUUUAAGCAUGCAUAACAAGGCUGUAAACCAUGUAAUAAACCUAAUAAAUAUUAUUUUAAUGAUGCACGCA
Molecule: long non-coding RNA, 3526 nt
Organism: Cheilinus undulatus (humphead wrasse)
Lineage: Eukaryota; Metazoa; Chordata; Actinopteri; Labriformes; Labridae
Exons: 5
Source: RefSeq, a predicted model, not a curated record